Rhopalosiphum padi (bird cherry-oat aphid) is the source of this 1838-nucleotide RNA transcript. It is a transcript of the gene named chromobox protein homolog 1-like, with no coding region annotated. NCBI's taxonomy places the organism in Eukaryota, Metazoa, Arthropoda, Insecta, Hemiptera, Aphididae. The record is from RefSeq and is a predicted model, not a curated record. The transcript has 4 exons.
GUCCGCGCCAUCCUUACGUUGCCGGGUGUGCAAUUACGUUUAUAUAAUAUAAUGAUUUAGGUAUAAUCAAUGGUGCAACGCUGAACGCAUAGCGAUUGCUAUAAAAUAGGAGCAGCAAUAGAAGUUGGGUAUUGUGAGCCGUUGCCGUUUUAGUCUGGUUGGCACUGUUGGCAGUAGUGUUCUCCGCCGCCGAAGACCAGGCGUCAGCUGCUGUCGUAUCACCACCGCGACCGCGGCCUCAGAUAAGAUUAUUUACCUUCCGUUUGUUGUUAAUUAUCUUGUUCGGCACCUUCUGAUCAUUCCUCGUUUAAUUGUAUAGAAUAAUAUUAAAAAAGCAAUAAAGUGACACGGUAAUAAUGCUUCUUUUUUUUUUAACCAUACCAGUUUUGUUGCGUUAUUUCAUUUUAUCAUAGUUUAUAAGACGUCCUACCCUCCGUCCACAUGAAUAAACAAACGUCGCAAGUAACGGGCGGCGACCAGCUAACGAAGUAUUUUAAUAUUCAAUAGCUCCGUGACGAAACGGAUGGAUAUUUGUGAAUUACUAAUAAAAGUUGUUACAGUCCCUUGCACAAGAAAAAAAAGGCGUAAAAUAAUCGAUUUAAACCUUAUGAUGAAAAGUUUUUGGGUUCUUUAAUUUUAUGAGCAACUAAUUAAAUUCUUGUAUUGCUAUUUGAAUAUCAUAAACAGGUACAGAACGAAAUUGCUGCCUUCCUAAUAAAACAUUUGCAGUCGCAUACACAGAAAAUAAUACUUUUAAAUCAAUUGUUUUGUAACUCAUGAUGAAAUAUUUAUGGAUUUUUUCCUUUUAUGAUCAUUUAAUUAUAUUCUUGUAAUGCUAUAUAGACAUUAUAAAUAACUCAAGCAAAAAGGUUGGCGGUUUAAAUGCAGAACAUGAAAAUUCCAAGCCUAACAAUAAAGAAGCAGAAAAAAUUUUAGGAGUUACUGAUUUUAGUGGCCCGUUGACAUUUUUAGUGAAGUUUAAAGGAAUUGAUGAAGCCGAGUUGAUACCAGCUAAAGAGGCUAAUAAAAAAUUCCCACAAAUCGUUAUCGAUUACUAUUCAUCAUUACCAAUAGAGUGGGUUUAGAUAAAUUAAAUGGCGUUUAAUAACUAUUAUAAUACAGAUAAGGAUGACAAGUGUUCAAAAAGGGACUUUUAUUUUAUAUCAUAUCUUAUUGUAAAUGUCUUCAAUUAUUUAAUUUUAUUAUAUGUAGUAGGUAUGCCUUACAGAUAAAUUUAUUAGUUCAUCAAUUAUUAAAUAUUUAAAUGUUAGUAAUUAAAUACUUUCAUAAAAUAGCAAUUUUUUUUUUAUUACAGUAUAAUAAUAGUGUUCUCUAAAAAAAAAUUAUUUCUUAAGAGGACACAUCCUAUUGUCACUGUCUUACAGAUGUAAAACAUAGCAAAAACUGUAUUGCACGGGAAAGAACCAAACUGCAAUCAUAACUAAGAAACAACAUUUUCACUACAUAAAAAGAAGAACAUUGGCUGUGAAAUAUUGUUAUUAUUUUUAGAUAUCUUGACUAAAAAUAAAAUUAUUAAAAAUAAUGGAUUUUGAAACAAUUAGAAAUUGUAUAAGUGAUAUAAAAUAAAUAAAAACGUUAUUUCACAGAUAAUGUUCUCAACUAUAUUAUUUAUCAAUUUGGAGUCUUAACUACAGUCAAAUUGGUUCUAUUCCGCGCUAAACAGCUUUUGCUGUGUUUUACGGAAACAACACGCAAGUGUAGUUUCCACUUAAAUGCCAAAAUAUGUUAAUUUAAGUUUAUUUAUUUGUUCAAAUGUUGAGUCUAAAUAUUGAAUACUUGUAUCUUAUUUUAAUAAUUAAAAGCAUUUUUUCACCGUA